Molecule: ribosomal RNA, 484 nt
Filed under: uncultured bacterium
Lineage: Bacteria
Description: partial 16S ribosomal RNA
Rfam family: Bacterial small subunit ribosomal RNA
Source: RNAcentral
GAUGAACGCUGGCGGCGUGCUUAACACAUGCAAGUCGAACGAUGAACCGGGUGCUUGCACUCGGGGAUUAGUGGCGAACGGGUGAGUAACACGUGAGCAACCUGCCCCUGACUCUGGGAUAAGCGCUGGAAACGGCGUCUAAUACUGGAUAUGUCCCGUCACCGCAUGGUGUGCGGGUGGAAAGAUUUUUCGGUUGGGGAUGGGCUCGCGGCCUAUCAGCUUGUUGGUGAGGUAAUGGCUCACCAAGGCGUCGACGGGUAGCCGGCCUGAGAGGGUGACCGGCCACACUGGGACGGAGACACGGCCAGACUCCUACGGGAGGCAGCAGUGGGGAAUAUUGCACAAUGGGCGGAAGCCUGAUGCAGCAACGCCGCGUGAGGGAUGACGGCCUUCGGGUUGUAAACCUCUUUUAGCAGGGAAGAAGCGAGAGUGACGGUACCUGCAGAAAAAGCACCGGCUAACUACGUGCCAGCCGCCGCGGUAA